AGUGGGGAAUAUUGGACAAUGGGCGCAAGCCUGAUCCAGCCAUGCCGCGUGAGUGACGAAGGUCUUCGGAUUGUAAAGCUCUUUUGCCAGGGACGAUAAUGACGGUACCUGGAGAAUAAGCCCCGGCUAACUUCGUGCCAGCAGCCGCGGUAAUACGAAGGGGGCUAGCGUUGUUCGGAAUUACUGGGCGUAAAGCGCACGUAGGCGGAUUUGUUAGUCAGGGGUGAAAUCCCGGGGCUCAACCUCGGAACUGCCUUUGAUACUGCAAGUCUAGAGUCCGGAAGAGGUGAGUGGAAUUCCUAGUGUAGAGGUGAAAUUCGUAGAUAUUAGGAAGAACACCAGUGGCGAAGGCGGCUCACUGGUCCGGUACUGACGCUGAGGUGCGAAAGCGUGGGGAGCAAA
RNAcentral lists this ribosomal RNA (402 nucleotides) under Hyphomicrobium vulgare. RNAcentral's name for it is "bacterial SSU rRNA". It matches the Rfam family "Bacterial small subunit ribosomal RNA", at positions 353 to 772 of the family's 1533-position model. The record is from RNAcentral. Lineage: Bacteria; Pseudomonadati; Pseudomonadota; Alphaproteobacteria; Hyphomicrobiales; Hyphomicrobiaceae.